AAGAGCUUCGUCUCCGUUUUUCCAUGUUCGAAAUACCCAAAAAAAAAAUUAAAAAAAAAACCCCAAAAAUCCAGGCUUGCCGAGAGACUGAAACAGAAGUUGCUGAAGUGGAAGACUAUGCUCAAGUUGAAGAAGAUGGGCAAUUGACGGCUCAGCCACUCGGUGACAACCCGGAUUCUGUCGAACAACGAGCUGCUUCCGACCAAAUUGACGGGAGAACGAACCCCCAAUGUUUUACAAAGAGGAUUUGAAUUUGCUCAAGCUGUGGAGGGCUGUCAUCAAAUUGGGAGGGUAUGAACAGGUGACCUCAUGCAAAUUGUGGAGGCAGAGGCAGGUUAGAGAAUCGUUUAAUCCCCGAAAGACCUGUACUACAGUGUCUUGGACAUUUCGUAUCUUUUAUGGGAAGGUUUGGCUCUAAUUGCCGAUUUCCGUUGAUUAUGGUAACACAGACAUACUUUGCAGACUAUGGCCUCAUUCCCCAUCUCUUAACAUUUAUUUUAUUUAUUUGCUAUUGUGGCAUAUGGUUCUCCUGUAAUCUGUUUCCAUCGAUUUACGCAGGCAUUGUUCGAGUAUGAAAAGCAUAAAAUGCAUGGUGCUGUACCCCCUCAGUUUGUUCCUUCCCUCAUCGAGCCUAUCACGGUUGUUAGUCCGUUAAGAUUAUAAUGCUUUCCGAUAUGCUUUGCAUAGCAUAUUUGUUUCGUUAUUACUUGUCAACAUGAAUGCUGCUCG
Hibiscus syriacus is the source of this 729-nucleotide long non-coding RNA. RefSeq lists it as uncharacterized. The transcript has 4 exons. The record is from RefSeq and is a predicted model, not a curated record. Lineage: Eukaryota; Viridiplantae; Streptophyta; Magnoliopsida; Malvales; Malvaceae.